Molecule: ribosomal RNA, 228 nt
Filed under: uncultured bacterium
Lineage: Bacteria
Description: partial 16S ribosomal RNA
Rfam family: Bacterial small subunit ribosomal RNA
Source: RNAcentral
CGGGUGAGUAAUGUAUGGGGAUCUGCCUGAUGGCGGGGGAUAACUACUGGAAACGGUAGCUAAUACCGCAUAACGUCGCAAGACCAAAGAGGGGGACCUUGGGGCCUCUUGCCAUCGGAUGUGCCCAGAUGGGAUUAGCUAGUAGGUGGGGUAAUGGCUCACCUAGGCGACGAUCCCUAGCUGGUCUGAGAGGAUGACCAGCCACACUGGAACUGAGACACGGUCCAG